CAAUAGCGUAUAUUAAAGUUGUUGCAGUUAAAACGCUCGUAGUCGGAUUUCGGGGCUUGAUGACCGGUCUGCCGUAGGGUAUGCACUGGCCAUUGGGUCCUUCCUUCCGGAGACCUUAUCUACUCUUAACUGAGCGGGUAAGGGAGACGGAUCGUUUACUUUGAAAAAUCAGAGUGUUUCAAGCAGGCAACUCGCUUUUGCAUGGAUUAGCAUGGGAUAAUAAAAUAGGACUUUGGUGCUAUUUUGUUGGUUUCGAACACCGAAGUAAUGAUUAAAAGGGACGGUCAGGGGCACUCGUAUUCCGUCGAGAGAGGUGAAAUUCUCAGACCAACGGAAGACGAACCACUGCGAAAGCAUUUGCCAGGGAUGUUUUCACUGAUCAAGAACGAAAGUUAGGGGAUCGAAGAUGAUCAGAUAUCAU
RNAcentral lists this ribosomal RNA (421 nucleotides) under uncultured eukaryote. RNAcentral describes it as "SSU rRNA". It matches the Rfam family "Eukaryotic small subunit ribosomal RNA", at positions 592 to 1018 of the family's 1831-position model. The record is from RNAcentral.